GACGAACGCUGGCGGCGUGCCUAAUACAUGCAAGUAGAACGCACAGUUUAUACCGUAGCUUGCUACACCAUAAACUGUGAGUUGCGAACGGGUGAGUAACGCGUAGGUAACCUGCCUGGUAGCGGGGGAUAACUAUUGGAAACGAUAGCUAAUACCGCAUAAUAUUGAUUAUUGCAUGAUAAUUGAUUGAAAGAUGCUAUUGCAUCACUACCAGAUGGACCUGCGUUGUAUUAGCUAGUAGGUGAGGUAACGGCUCACCUAGGCGACGAUACAUAGCCGACCUGGGAGGGUGAUCGGCCACACUGGGACUGAGACACGGCCCAGACUCCUACGGGAGGCAGCAGUAGGGAGUCUUCGGCAAUGGACGAAAGUCUGACCGAGCAACGCCGCGUGAGUGAAGAAGGUUUUCGGAUCGUAAAGCUCUGUUGUAAGAGAAGAACGGGUGUGAGAGUGGAAAGUUCACACUGUGACGGUAUCUUACCAGAAAGGGACGGCUAACUACGUG
This 505-nucleotide ribosomal RNA is filed under the name uncultured bacterium. RNAcentral describes it as "partial 16S ribosomal RNA". It matches the Rfam family "Bacterial small subunit ribosomal RNA", at positions 28 to 507 of the family's 1533-position model. The record is from RNAcentral.